GGAGGUGGAGCUCAGUGGUAGUGUUUGCCUAGUAUGCAUGAGGCCCUGGGUUCAAUCCUCAGCACCACCA
Molecule: transfer RNA, 70 nt
Filed under: Heterocephalus glaber (naked mole-rat)
Lineage: Eukaryota; Metazoa; Chordata; Mammalia; Rodentia; Bathyergidae
Rfam family: tRNA
About the family: Transfer RNA (tRNA) molecules are approximately 80 nucleotides in length.
Source: Rfam by way of RNAcentral